RNAcentral lists this transfer RNA (74 nucleotides) under Peptacetobacter hominis. It matches the Rfam family "tRNA". Rfam says of the family: Transfer RNA (tRNA) molecules are approximately 80 nucleotides in length. Their secondary structure includes four short double-helical elements and three loops (D, anti-codon, and T loops). The record is from Rfam by way of RNAcentral. Lineage: Bacteria; Bacillati; Bacillota; Clostridia; Peptostreptococcales; Peptostreptococcaceae.
GCGCUCAUAGCUCAACCGGAUAGAGUGUCUGACUACGAAUCAGAAGGCUGUGGGUUCGAGUCCCUCUGGGCGCA